This 253-nucleotide ribosomal RNA is filed under the name uncultured bacterium. RNAcentral describes it as "partial 16S ribosomal RNA". It matches the Rfam family "Bacterial small subunit ribosomal RNA", at positions 524 to 776 of the family's 1533-position model. The record is from RNAcentral.
UACGGAGGGUGCAAGCGUUAAUCGGAAUUACUGGGCGUAAAGCGCGCGUAGGCGGCUGCUUAAGCUAGAUGUGAAAGCCCUGGGCUUAACCUGGGAACUGCAUUUAGAACUGGGCGGCUAGAGUACAGCAGAGGAUAGUGGAAUUUCCGGUGUAGCGGUGAAAUGCGUAGAGAUCGGAAGGAACAUCAGUGGCGAAGGCGACUGUCUGGGCUGAUACUGACGCUGAGGUGCGAAAGCGUGGGGAGCAAACAGG